Oxyura jamaicensis (ruddy duck) is the source of this 671-nucleotide long non-coding RNA. RefSeq lists it as uncharacterized. The transcript has 2 exons. The record is from RefSeq and is a predicted model, not a curated record. NCBI's taxonomy places the organism in Eukaryota, Metazoa, Chordata, Aves, Anseriformes, Anatidae.
CUUACUUUUCCUUUGUAGUAAUUCUGAACACUUGUACUCUGAUUAAUUUGUGUUCAUCACUUGACUAUACUGUAGUUAAACAAAUGAAAGGACGUAUGUACAGUACUUCAAUCCCUGCUACACGUGCAUGAGUAUCCUUUCUAAUCCUUUGUUCAGAAAGAAGAGCAGCUGCAGAGACAGAAUUAUAAAAGCUUCUGGAUUUACUUCUAAAAGUAAAAAAAAAAAAAAAAAAAAAAAAAAGGAGAUCUUAAAACAGAAAAACAUCAUAUGCAAUGUUUUGGAUUUACCAGAUAUUAAAAAUCGUGCAGUGAAACAUCUGUGUACUCAAUCAGACAAUAAAUGUGAAAUUACAUGAAGCAGAGAAGCAGAUCACAUACGGAUUAAUUAAUGCACUUUAAAAAUGUAAAACGUGGUAAUGUUCAAUAAAUCAGGUAAAGGACAGGGAGAUGGCCAGGCAGGAGUAAUGAAUAAUGCUACUUUCAUGAUCCCUUUUUAUCUCCAUAAUCAUUUAAAAUAUUAAAAAAAAAAAAAAAGUUUUCCUGUUGUAGCUGCUGGUCAGUAUAAAGGAAUUGCUGCUCAGGCGUGUGACUAUUAGUAAGUUGAAAGACAUCUUAGAACAGUGUGUCACAAUACUUUGAUCUUAAUCAAAUGCAUUCGUAACUUAAAAAAAA